This 405-nucleotide ribosomal RNA is filed under the name uncultured bacterium. RNAcentral describes it as "bacterial SSU rRNA". It matches the Rfam family "Bacterial small subunit ribosomal RNA", at positions 356 to 773 of the family's 1533-position model. The record is from RNAcentral.
GGGGAAUAUUGCACAAUGGGCGGAAGCCUGAUGCAGCGACGCCGCGUGGGGGAUGACGGUCUUCGGAUUGUAAACCCCUUUCAGUAGGGACGAAGCGCAAGUGACGGUACCUGCAGAAGAAGCACCGGCCAACUACGUGCCAGCAGCCGCGGUAAUACGUAGGGUGCGAGCGUUGUCCGGAAUUACUGGGCGUAAAGAGCUCGUAGGCGGUUUGUCACGUCGUCUGUGAAAUCCUCCAGCUUAACUGGGGGCGUGCAGGCGAUACGGGCAGACUUGAGUACUACAGGGGAGACUGGAAUUCCUGGUGUAGCGGUGAAAUGCGCAGAUAUCAGGAGGAACACCGGUGGCGAAGGCGGGUCUCUGGGUAGUAACUGACGCUGAGGAGCGAAAGCAUGGGUAGCGAAC